GCCUGGGUGGCUCAGUUGGUUGAGCAUCCGACUUCGGCUCAGGUCAUGAUCUCACAGUUUGUGGGUUCGAGCCCCACAUCAGGCU
RNAcentral lists this transfer RNA (85 nucleotides) under Felis catus (domestic cat). It matches the Rfam family "tRNA". From Rfam's summary of the family: Transfer RNA (tRNA) molecules are approximately 80 nucleotides in length. Their secondary structure includes four short double-helical elements and three loops (D, anti-codon, and T loops). The record is from Rfam by way of RNAcentral. Lineage: Eukaryota; Metazoa; Chordata; Mammalia; Carnivora; Felidae.